GUUUAAUUUUCGAUGCAACGCGAAGAACCUUACCACUUCUUGACAUGGAGGUUAGAUCCUUCUUAACAGAAGGGCGCAGUUCGGCUGGGUCUCGCACAGGUGCUGCAUGGCUGUCGUCAGCUCGUGUCGUGAGAUGUUGGGUUAAGUCCCGCAACGAGCGCAACCCUCAUCCUUAGUUGCCAGCGGGUAAUGCCGGGCACUUUAAGGAAACUGCCAGUGAUAAACUGGAGGAAGGUGGGGAUGAUGUCAAGUCAGCACGGCCCUUAUGGGGUGGGCUACACACGUGCUACAAUGGUGACUACAAUAGGUUGCAACGUCGCAAGGCUGAGCUAAUCCGUAAAAGUCAUCUCAGUUCGGAUUGUCCUCUGUAACUCGAGGGCAUGAAGUCGGAAUCGCUAGUAAUCGUGGAUCAGCAUGCCACGGUUGAAUAC
Molecule: ribosomal RNA, 431 nt
Filed under: uncultured Anaplasma sp.
Lineage: Bacteria; Pseudomonadati; Pseudomonadota; Alphaproteobacteria; Rickettsiales; Anaplasmataceae
Description: bacterial SSU rRNA
Rfam family: Bacterial small subunit ribosomal RNA
Source: RNAcentral